UUCUUGUCCAAAAAAUCUCCGUACAAUUUCGUGGCAUUUGGACCUCAUUUGAUAUGGAUUUUCCGCGAAGGGAAAAAACAGCAAAAACAGCAAUUGACACUAGGCACUAUGUCAAUAGGUUAGUCCCAAAAAAUGAUAUAAAGUUGCUAUAAAAUGAUCAUAAAACAUCCAAGAAUGAUAAUAUAAUAGCAUGGAACAAUCAAAAAUUAUAGAUACGUUGGGGACGUAUCACUAGGCCACCGUGCGAUGAGAUGCUUCAAGUGCAUGCAAUACUUGGACACGGCCUCUUGGAUGGUCUACCAUCGAUGGUUGAGGGACUUUCAUUCAUGGAUGCGGAUGACUGCGUCGGAGUAUUGUGCGAAAUACUUGUGUUCAUGGAACCAUAUAUGAAUGUUGUUCCAAAAGGUUGUGCCCUUUUACUCUCUUCCAUGGAGAGGAUCGAGGUUAGUGGCCAAUCAUGCAUCACACAACAACUCGUCCUCCUACGUGUUGAAGUUUUCUCCUAUGCCCUUCUUCUUCGGAUCGCUGCCUGUAUCAGUCGGAUCAUCGUCAUCGCCGUCCUCCCCUCCUC
RNAcentral lists this long non-coding RNA (571 nucleotides) under Hordeum vulgare. Its description in RNAcentral is "long non-coding RNA (HVUL_LNC019764)". The record is from RNAcentral. Lineage: Eukaryota; Viridiplantae; Streptophyta; Magnoliopsida; Poales; Poaceae.